UGUUGUCACACUGUGUCAUGGUUCUGUGUGUGUCUGAGUUUGCAGGUAGGGUUGAGCAGGUUGCCAUGGGGAUGGAGGGCGGAGGCUGGAGCCACAAUUGAUCCCACCUGCAGCGCAUCAGCACCUUCGUUAGCCAGCCUUCCUCCCAGCUAUUUAGGAUCAUGCAGGAGCUCCAGUCUUCGCCAGAUUGUCAUUCAAUUAAGCGUGACUAAGACCUUGAUCCCCUCAGUUAACCUCAGCACCCAGGAUUUGGACUACUCCUCGCAUCAAGCUACCUGCCUGCCUGCUCGCCCUGCCUGCAACCAAGCUCACAACACCAUCCACAGAUAACAUCUCCUGGUUCACCCCUCCACAAAGAGUUG
Molecule: long non-coding RNA, 362 nt
Organism: Melanotaenia boesemani (Boeseman's rainbowfish)
Lineage: Eukaryota; Metazoa; Chordata; Actinopteri; Atheriniformes; Melanotaeniidae
Exons: 3
Source: RefSeq, a predicted model, not a curated record